GACUUGCAGCGAACAAAUUCUGUCACUGUUACUGUGAACAAUCUUCUCCAGAUGUGAAAUGAGUAAUGUUAUGACAUGGUUUAAUGUCUCCAAGUAAUCAAACCUGUCUUGUGCACACCAAAUAUCGGAAGGCUUGGAGCUGUGCACUAAUUGAGCUUGUUCAAUUACACCCCCAACACUUUUCUCGUCAUCUCAUUUUUGCCUUUUUUCAAAUAUCUACAAGCUUCAUUCUGUGUAUAUAUCAAGUCGGUUUUAUUUUAUAAAAGAAGGGAAAAGGCACAUUAUUACCGUUUUGAGUUUGGUUUUCCAUGGAAAAAAUAAAGUUGGGCCGUACACAUAGAUAGACAGCUCGGCCUUGCAUUGUGAUUUUGAGCUAACCACUGUGUUUGCUUCAUUGUCCAAGCAUGACAGGGACGAAGCUUUGCUUUCUAUUUCUGAAUAUAUAGUGUACAAUAAUGAAUGAAUUGUUUGUAAUGCUAAGAUGCUCAAGUAGCUCUUGUUAGAUUCUGAGGGAACUAAUGAAGCUAUUUGUGGAGGACCUCAACAAUGCUU
RNAcentral lists this unclassified non-coding RNA (552 nucleotides) under Hevea brasiliensis (rubber tree). The record is from RNAcentral. Lineage: Eukaryota; Viridiplantae; Streptophyta; Magnoliopsida; Malpighiales; Euphorbiaceae.